RNAcentral lists this ribosomal RNA (585 nucleotides) under Bacillus cereus. Its description in RNAcentral is "partial 23S ribosomal RNA". It matches the Rfam family "Bacterial large subunit ribosomal RNA", at positions 1436 to 2026 of the family's 2925-position model. Lineage: Bacteria; Bacillati; Bacillota; Bacilli; Caryophanales; Bacillaceae. The record is from RNAcentral.
UUCCUGUACCACCUCUUUAUCGUUUGAGCAAUGGAGGGACGCAGAAGGAUAGAAGAAGCGUGCGAUUGGUUGUGCACGUCCAAGCAGUUAGGCUGAUAAGUAGGCAAAUCCGCUUAUCGUGAAGGCUGAGCUGUGAUGGGGAAGCUCCUUAUGGAGCGAAGUCUUUGAUUCCCCGCUGCCAAGAAAAGCUUCUAGCGAGAUAAAAGGUGCCUGUACCGCAAACCGACACAGGUAGGCGAGGAGAGAAUCCUAAGGUGUGCGAGAGAACUCUGGUUAAGGAACUCGGCAAAAUGACCCCGUAACUUCGGGAGAAGGGGUGCUUUCUUAACGGAAAGCCGCAGUGAAUAGGCCCAAGCGACUGUUUAGCAAAAACACAGGUCUCUGCGAAGCCGUAAGGCGAAGUAUAGGGGCUGACACCUGCCCGGUGCUGGAAGGUUAAGGAGAGGGGUUAGCGUAAGCGAAGCUCUGAACUGAAGCCCCAGUAAACGGCGGCCGUAACUAUAACGGUCCUAAGGUAGCGAAAUUCCUUGUCGGGUAAGUUCCGACCCGCACGAAAGGUGUAACGAUUUGGGCACUGUCUCAACC